AUGGGAGCGCGCUUCUGCCCCCCGUCGCGGCGCUCCCCCUCGCCGACCACGUCGAGAGUACACCUACCGGUCUCAGUGUCCACCUCAAACGCCCUGAUCCACCACAAGGACACCCUAAUCCACAAGGCCAUCCCGGUGCCCACGCCCGACGGCAGGGCGAUGGUGGUCGUCAUCUACUUCCAGCCGCACCGCCAACAGUGGGCCACGGAUCGACCCGGCAAGAGCACCUGGAAAUCUGUGAGGCUGAGCAACAUCCCGGCCGUGCUGGACCUGGUGCUCCACCGCGGGCAGCUCUACGCCAACACCAGCUUCGGGAUUGUGUACGUCUUCCUGGAGCUGCACGGGCUGGGCUCCGCGCCCGAUAUCAUCCCGUCCGUGACGUGGAGGCCAACCUCGCGCGUGGAGAGCAACUUCCUCGUGCAGACCCCCGGCGGUGGGGCGCUGAUCCAAGUGGAGCUCGUCGAAGCGGCCGGGGGUGAGGAGUUCAUGGUUUGCGUGCUGGACGAGUGCGGUGGGACGUAGGAGGAGGAUGACGACAUCGGCAAUGUUGCGGUGCCCAUGGACGCGUCCGGCACGGUGGCUGUGUCCAUGAAGGAGUGCCCCAGGCUGAGGCCCAGCACCGUCUACUAUAGGGACCUCAACAGUGGUGAGACACGGGUUCGGGCGUAUAGCCUCGCCGGCAAGCACAAGAAGGUCGAGGUCGUCGAGUCCCUCUCCAGGGCGGAUGGAAACAAGCGGCCAUGCUUCUGGUUCACGCCGCUCUAUUCAUAG
RNAcentral lists this ribosomal RNA (771 nucleotides) under Triticum aestivum (bread wheat). RNAcentral describes it as "partial small subunit ribosomal RNA". The record is from RNAcentral. Lineage: Eukaryota; Viridiplantae; Streptophyta; Magnoliopsida; Poales; Poaceae.